This 497-nucleotide ribosomal RNA is filed under the name uncultured bacterium. RNAcentral's name for it is "partial 16S ribosomal RNA". It matches the Rfam family "Bacterial small subunit ribosomal RNA", at positions 28 to 507 of the family's 1533-position model. The record is from RNAcentral.
GAUGAACGCUGGCGGCGUGCCUAAUACAUGCAAGUCGAGCGAACGGACGAGAAGCUUGCUUCUCUGAUGUUAGCGGCGGACGGGUGAGUAACACGUGGAUAACCUACCUAUAAGACUGGGAUAACUUCGGGAAACCGGAGCUAAUACCGGAUAAUAUUUUGAACCGCAUGGUUCAAAAGUGAAAGACGGUCUUGCUGUCACUUAUAGAUGGAUCCGCGCUGCAUUAGCUAGUUGGUAAGGUAACGGCUUACCAAGGCAACGAUGCAUAGCCGACCUGAGAGGGUGGUCGGCCACACGGGAACUGAGACACGGUCCAGACUCCUGCGGGAGGCCGCAGUAGGGAAUCUUCCGCAAUGGGCGAAAGCCUGACGGAGCAACGCCGCGUGAGUGAUGAAGGUCUUCGGAUCGUAAAACUCUGUUAUUAGGGAAGAACAUAUGUGUAAGUAACUGUGCACAUCUUGACGGUACCUAAUCAGAAAGCCACGGCUAACUACGUG